Molecule: ribosomal RNA, 243 nt
Filed under: uncultured bacterium
Lineage: Bacteria
Description: partial 16S ribosomal RNA
Rfam family: Bacterial small subunit ribosomal RNA
Source: RNAcentral
GACAGAGGUGCCGAGCGUUAGGCGGAAUCACUGGGCUUAAAGCGUGUGUAGGCGGACCGUUAAGUACCUUGUGAAAUCCCCCGGCUCAACCGGGGAACGGCUGGGUAUACUGGCGGUCUUGAGCCAUCCAGGGGCAGUCGGAACAGACGGUGGAGCGGUGAAAUGCGUAGAUAUCGUCUGGAACGCCGAAGGUGAAAACAGAACUGCUGGGGAUGCGCUGACGCUGAGACACGAAAGCCAGGG